This 585-nucleotide ribosomal RNA is filed under the name uncultured bacterium. RNAcentral's name for it is "partial 16S ribosomal RNA". It matches the Rfam family "Bacterial small subunit ribosomal RNA", at positions 355 to 935 of the family's 1533-position model. The record is from RNAcentral.
UGGGGAAUUUUGGACAAUGGGCGAAAGCCUGAUCCAGCAAUGCCGCGUGUGUGAAGAAGGCCUUCGGGUUGUAAAGCACUUUUGUCCGGAAAGAAAUCCUUGGCUCUAAUACAGUCGGGGGAUGACGGUACCGGAAGAAUAAGCACCGGCUAACUACGUGCCAGCAGCCGCGGUAAUACGUAGGGUGCAAGCGUUAAUCGGAAUUACUGGGCGUAAAGCGUGCGCAGGCGGUUUGCUAAGACCGAUGUGAAAUCCCCGGGCUCAACCUGGGAACUGCAUUGGUGACUGGCAGGCUAGAGUAUGGCAGAGGGGGGUUAGAAUUCCACGUGUAGCAGUGAAAUGCGUAGAGAUGUGGAGGAAUACCGAUGGCGAAGGCAGCCCCCUGGGCCAAUACUGACGCUCAUGCAUGAGAAGCGUGGGGAGCAAACAGGAUUAGAUACCCCUGGUAGUCCACGCCCUAAACGAUGUCAACUAGUUGUUGGGGAUUCAUUUCCUUAGUAACGUAGCUAACGCGUGAAGUUGACCGCCUGGGGAGUACGGUCGCAAGAUUAAAACUCAAAGGAAUUGACGGGGUCAUAGCUGUUU